RNAcentral lists this ribosomal RNA (289 nucleotides) under uncultured bacterium. RNAcentral describes it as "partial 16S ribosomal RNA". It matches the Rfam family "Bacterial small subunit ribosomal RNA", at positions 773 to 1060 of the family's 1533-position model. The record is from RNAcentral.
GUGGAUUAGAUACCCUGGUAGUCCACGCCCUAAACGAUGUCUACUAGUUGUCGGGUUUUAAUUAACUUGGUAACGCAGCUAACGCGUGAAGUAGACCGCCUGGGGAGUACGGUCGCAAGAUUAAAACUCAAAGGAAUUGACGGGGACCCGCACAAGCGGUGGAUGAUGUGGAUUAAUUCGAUGCAACGCGAAAAACCUUACCUACCCUUGACAUGUCAGGAAGGCCGAAGAGAUUUGGCUGUGCCCGAAAGGGAGCCUGAACACAGGUGCUGCAUGGCCGUCGACAGCU